Molecule: ribosomal RNA, 240 nt
Filed under: uncultured bacterium
Lineage: Bacteria
Description: partial 16S ribosomal RNA
Rfam family: Bacterial small subunit ribosomal RNA
Source: RNAcentral
UGAGGAAUAUUGGUCAAUGGGCGCAAGCCUGAACCAGCCAUCCCGCGUGAAGGAAGAAGGCGCUAUGCGUUUUAAACUUCUUUUCCAGGGGGAGAAUUUUUCCGUCGUGACGGGAAUUGACGGUACUCUGGUACUAAGCAUCGUCUCACUCCGUGCCCGCAGCCGCGGUAAUACGUUGGAUGCGAUCUUUAUCCUGUUUUAUUUUGUUUAAAGGGUGCGUAGGCUGAUUGAUAAGUCAGU